Lolium perenne is the source of this 3267-nucleotide long non-coding RNA. RefSeq lists it as uncharacterized. Lineage: Eukaryota; Viridiplantae; Streptophyta; Magnoliopsida; Poales; Poaceae. The record is from RefSeq and is a predicted model, not a curated record.
AACGAGCCCUCGAUUUGUGUCCAUCCGAUCGACUCGCAUCGACGCGUUCCGUGCCUGAUCAUUCCGACAGCUUCCAUCUGAGGGUCCCACAAAACGCUCCCUGUCGUCACUUGCUUGCUCCCGCACGCGCAUCUCUUCCAUCGAUCCCCUUUCUCUCAGCCGCUCGCCGCGGCAGUAGUGGCCCUCGCCGCCGCCUCAGAGGAGCCGCGCCGCCGCCAGUGUUCUAGUCUCUGCAGACGAAGCCCCGAAAUCAAGCGCCAUGCUCCGAAUUCAAGCGUCCGCAAGCUAUCCCCAAAUCCCCUGCCGCACCAGCCGCUUCCGUCUCUCGCCUCCUGCUUCCCGCGGCCGCAUCGGGCCCGGUGUUGCUCAUCCCCACCCCAUGAGUUGGAGCACUACCUCAUCGCGGAAGCACUCCCACAGAUCUGGAGGUGUGGUGCUGGAGCGGUCCAAACCAGCAGCCCUACUACUGGCCUGCUGGUGACCUGCCCGACGAUGCCGGCGACUCGUGUAGAGAAUACGGGGAAGGUCACACAGGUGCAGUUCAUGGGGUAGUGGCUGACGAUGACGAGGAGUUCCCUCAGCAAUCGGAGUGGCUCCCGUCCCAUGAAUUCUCAAUGGGGAUACUGAAGCCACUUUCAAAGUUCUGAGCGCUUGAGGGCACGGGAUGGUCGAUGACUAGAAUGACGAAUUACAUAUACAUUUUCGUCGAUGCAUAUUAUGCUUUGGUUUCACUUAGAUUAGGAGAACAAUGACAUAACAGAGUUGUCUAGCUCCACUCAUGGUUUGUUUCUUUGUGCUUUGCCCAGGUUUGGUUUAGUUGCUAUCCCCGCUAAUUUAGUUUGGUUUCUAAAUAUCCAUGAACAAGGGUUGUUCAUCGAACUUACUAAAUUGUUUAGCCACUUUAGUUUAAAUUGUUUUUGCACAUCCGUGGAGUAGGGGUUGUUGAUUUGUUUCACUGCUCAAUCAUCAAACUAUUAAUUUUUUUAUCCCUUUAAUUAAGUUGGUCAACCACCUCGGAUAAUUUACCUAAUGAUCACUAUUAAGUUGUUUUUCACCCAUCCAUGGGUUAGGGGGUUGACGUUCUUGUCUGACCAGGGGAAUCAUCCACAUGAUAAGUUUGUUUAGCCUACUAAUUAAAUUGAGCAGCCAUUUUUAGUCUAGUUACUUAAUGAUCAUUAUUAAGUUGUCUUUUUUCUUGGCUUAGACACACACACAAAAAUAUCAUUCCCUUAGUACUUCAGUGUGAUAUUAGAGAUUAGCGUUCAACCAUUUUGAGGUGUGUGAAGUAAUCGAGUUGGUGUCCUCACUUCCCAAGACAAAUCUCCUAAAUUGCUACCGAGUGUAGGACUAUGUUGCUUCACGUAUGGGCCAAGUAGCUUACACAAUGUCGAUUCAUAGUAUUCUAUUGCUAAAUUGCUUUUUCAUAUAGUAAUUUUUUGCUUUCAAAGGUAUACUAAGUUGAUUUCAUGCUACAUAUAAUUGUACUGAUAUCCUAUUUUCCCAAUUGAAGUCUUGAUAUGCAAAGUUUCAGUGUGAGGGGUGGGGUACUGUUUUGGUGGUAAAGAAUGAUGAGACAAAGAAUAGUAGUACAUGCUACUGGCAUAUGUUAAGUUUCUUUCCACUUAUCUCAAUACUGAUUAGUUGCUUCCAAGUUUAAAGAAAAUUGAUUUCUCUGCACCAUACAGUACUUGGUGCUUUCUCUAUGUUGCAGCUUAUAUUACAUUGUUGCUUCAUACAUACACUAAGUUGCUUUCACAUAUUGCUUGAACCAUGCUUGAAGUUUCUCGAUCACAUUUGACAGAUAGAGAUCCAUAGUUGCAGUAGGGACAAUGUAGAUUUGAAUGGCGAUUUCUGAUUAGUUGUUUGUUAAAAAAAAUUCAUGCAACCGAGUUUGGGUACAUAUUUUCCACCUAGUUGUAUUUACUGUACCCCUUAGUUCCAACAGGGAUGAUGUAAGGUUUGUAUGGUGAUUUCUAGGUUUUUUUUUUCCCUCAAAUCCAUGCUUCCAAGUUUGGGUACAUGAAUUUCCAUCUAGUUGUGUUUUACUCUAGCCUAAGUUGCAAUAGAGAUGAUGUAGAAUUGUAUGGUGAUUUAUAAUUAGUUGUUUUUUUAUGAAAUCCCCACAACCAAGUUUGGGUACAUGAGUUUCAUCUAGUUGUAUUUAUUGUACCCCUUAGUUGUUGCGGGAAUGAUAUUAAGUUGUAUGGUGAUUUCUGGGUUUUUAUUUUUCCUUAAAUCCAUGCAUCCAAGUUUGGGUACAUGGUUUUCAUCUAGUUGUAUUUACUGUACCCCUUAGUUGUUGUAGGAAUAAUGUUAAGUGGUAUGGUGAUUUCUAGGUUUUUAUUUUUCCUUAAAUACAUGCAUCCAAGUUUGGGUACAUGAUUUUUAUCUAGUUGUAUUUACUGUACCCCUUAGUUGUUGUAGGAAUAAUGUUAAGUUAUAUGGUGAUUUCUAGGUUUUUAGUUUUCCUCAAAUCCAUGAAUCCAACUUUGGGUACAUGAUUUUCCAUCUAGUUGUUUUUUUGCUCUAGCCUAAUUUGCAAUAGCGAUGAUGUAGAAUUGUAUGGUGAUUUAUAAUUAGUUGUUUUUUAUGAAAUACCCACAACCAAGUUUGGAUACAUGAUUUUCAUCUAGUUGUAUUUACUAUACCCAUUAGAGCAUCUCUAACCGAACCCGUCAACCCCGUCGGAACGGAACUUUUCUGGCGGAUUUACGGGUUCGGGCCGAAAGCGCUAUAGACCAGAGCCCGAAACGGUGGCCCGGCCCGUAAAAGUUUCUCGGGCGCGAGGCUCGCCUCGUAUUAAAACGGGCCGCGGAGGGGAGUUCGGUUUCCAAACCCUACUCCCCUCCGCCGCUGCCGCCCGCUCCGCCGCUGCCGCCCGCUCCGCCGCCUCGUUCCACCUCCUUCAACAAGCAAUCGUCACCUUGCCAGCGCUGCUUCACCGUUGCUCCACCUCCCCAUGGCUAACCGUGGUAGCUCCGCUAGGGGAGGCGGUGGUUUGGGUGGCGGGGAAUCACCGUCGCGGCCCCUCGUUUUCCGCACGGAGGUGGAGCGGUGCAAAUUCAACCGGUCGGAGCUACACCUCGCGGGGUUGGCUGCCACAAAGACAACAAAUUGUUCUUCGGACGUCUUCUAAGUUGUAUUUUUAUCGGCGGUAUUAUUGGUUCCGCAUGUGAGCUAAGUUGUAAUUUUGCAUAAUAAAUUUUAGACUCACGCGUUUGCUAAGUUGUAUACUCAUUAUUACUAAUUUGUAUACCCUACUGCAAA